This 199-nucleotide ribosomal RNA is filed under the name uncultured bacterium. Its description in RNAcentral is "partial 16S ribosomal RNA". It matches the Rfam family "Bacterial small subunit ribosomal RNA", at positions 1294 to 1500 of the family's 1533-position model. The record is from RNAcentral.
CGGAUCGGAGUCUGCAACCCGACUCCGUGAAGCUGGAUUCGCUAGUAAUCGCGCAUCAGCCAUGGCGCGGUGAAUACGUUCCCGGGCCUUGUACACACCGCCCGUCAAGCCAUGGAAGCCGGGGGUGCCUGAAGUGUGCAGCCGCAAGGAGCGCCCUAAGGUAAAACCGGUGACUGGGGCUAAGUCGUAACAAGGUAAC